GAGUUUGAUCCUGGCUCAGGACGAACGCUGGCGGCACGCUUAACACAUGCAAGUCGAACGAGAGAAGAGAAGCUUGCUUUUCUGAUCUAGUGGCGGACGGGUGAGUAACACGUGAGCAAUCUGCCUUUCAGAGGGGGAUACCGAUUGGAAACGAUCGUUAAUACCGCAUAAUAUAAUUGAACCGCAUGAUUUGAUUAUCAAAGAUUUAUCGCUGAAAGAUGAGCUCGCGUCUGAUUAGCUAGUUGGUGAGGUAAUGGCCCACCAAGGCAACGAUCGGUAGCCGGACUGAGAGGUUGAACGGCCACAUUGGGACUGAGACACGGCCCAGACUCCUACGGGAGGCAGCAGUGGGGAAUAUUGCACAAUGGGGGAAACCCUGAUGCAGCGACGCCGCGUGGAGGAAGAAGGUCUUCGGAUUGUAAACUCCUGUUGUUGAGGAAGAUAAUGACGGUACUCAACAAGGAAGUGACGGCUAACUACGUGCCAGCAGCCGCGGUAAAACGUAGGUCACAAGCGUUGUCCGGAAUUACUGGGUGUAAAGGGAGCGCAGGCGGGAAGACAAGUUGGAAGUGAAAUCUAUGGGCUCAACCCAUAAACUGCUUUCAAAACUGUUUUUCUUGAGUAGUGCAGAGGUAGGCGGAAUUCCCGGUGUAGCGGUGGAAUGCGUAGAUAUCGGGAGGAACACCAGUGGCGAAGGCGGCCUACUGGGCACCAACUGACGCUGAGGCUCGAAAGUGUGGGUAGCAAACAGGAUUAGAUACCCUGGUAGUCCACACUGUAAACGAUGAUUACUAGGUGUUGGAGGAUUGACCCCUUCAGUGCCGCAGUUAACACAAUAAGUAAUCCACCUGGGGAGUACGACCGCAAGGUUGAAACUCAAAGGAAUUGACGGGGGCCCGCACAAGCAGUGGAGUAUGUGGUUUAAUUCGACGCAACGCGAAGAACCUUACCAAGUCUUGACAUCCUGCGACGGACAUAGAAAUAUGUUUUUCCUUCGGGACGCAGAGACAGGUGGUGCAUGGUUGUCGUCAGCUCGUGUCGUGAGAUGUUGGGUUAAGUCCCGCAACGAGCGCAACCCUUAUGGUCAGUUACUACGCAAGAGGACUCUGGCCAGACUGCCGUUGACAAAACGGAGGAAGGUGGGGAUGACGUCAAAUCAUCAUGCCCUUUAUGACUUGGGCUACACACGUACUACAAUGGCGUUAAACAAAGAGAAGCAAGACCGCGAGGUGGAGCAAAACUCAGAAACAACGUCCCAGUUCGGACUGCAGGCUGCAACUCGCCUGCACGAAGUCGGAAUUGCUAGUAAUCGCAGAUCAGCAUGCUGCGGUGAAUACGUUCCCGGGCCUUGCACACACCGCCCGUCAA
RNAcentral lists this ribosomal RNA (1368 nucleotides) under uncultured bacterium. Its description in RNAcentral is "bacterial SSU rRNA". It matches the Rfam family "Bacterial small subunit ribosomal RNA". The record is from RNAcentral.